UACGGAGGGGGCUAGCGUUGUUCGGAAUUACUGGGCGUAAAGCGCGCGUAGGCGGACCUGCAAGUCGGGGGUGAAAGCCCGAGGCUCAACCUCGGAACUGCCUUCGAUACUGCGGGUCUCGAGUCCGGGAGAGGUAAGUGGAAUUCCUAGUGUAGAGGUGAAAUUCGUAGAUAUUAGGAAGAACACCAGUGGCGAAGGCGGCUCACUGGCUCGGUACUGACGCUGAGGCGCGAAAGCGUGGGGAGCAAACAGG
This 253-nucleotide ribosomal RNA is filed under the name uncultured bacterium. RNAcentral describes it as "partial 16S ribosomal RNA". It matches the Rfam family "Bacterial small subunit ribosomal RNA", at positions 524 to 776 of the family's 1533-position model. The record is from RNAcentral.